GAGUUGCGAACGGGUGAGUAACGCGUAGGUAACCUGCCUUGUAGCGGGGGAUAACUAUUGGAAACGAUAGCUAAUACCGCAUAACAAUGGAUGACACAUGUCAUUUAUUUGAAAGGGGCAAUUGCUCCACUACAAGAUGGACCUGCGUUGUAUUAGCUAGUAGGUGAGGUAAUGGCUCACCUAGGCGACGAUACAUAGCCGACCUGAGAGGGUGAUCGGCCACACUGGGACUGAGACACGGCCCAUACUCCUACGGGAGGCAGCAGUAGGGAAUCUUCGGCAAUGGGGGCAACCCUGACCGAGCAACCCCGCGUGAGUUAAGAAGGUUUUCGGAUCGUAAAGCUCUGUUGUAAGUCAAGAACGGGUGUGAGAGUGGAAAGUUCACACUGUGACGGUCGCUUACCAGAA
RNAcentral lists this ribosomal RNA (408 nucleotides) under Streptococcus thermophilus. RNAcentral describes it as "bacterial SSU rRNA". It matches the Rfam family "Bacterial small subunit ribosomal RNA", at positions 93 to 488 of the family's 1533-position model. Lineage: Bacteria; Bacillati; Bacillota; Bacilli; Lactobacillales; Streptococcaceae. The record is from RNAcentral.